Molecule: ribosomal RNA, 497 nt
Filed under: uncultured bacterium
Lineage: Bacteria
Description: partial 16S ribosomal RNA
Rfam family: Bacterial small subunit ribosomal RNA
Source: RNAcentral
GAUGAACGCUGGCGGCGUGCCUAAUACAUGCAAGUCGAGCGAACAGACGAGGAGCUUGCUCCUCUGACGUUAGCGGCGGACGGGUGAGUAACACGUGGAUAACCUACCUAUAAGACUGGGAUAACUUCGGGAAACCGGAGCUAAUACCGGAUAAUAUAUUGAACCGCAUGGUUCAAUAGUGAAAGACGGUUUUGCUGUCACUUAUAGAUGGAUCCGCGCCGCAUUAGCUAGUUGGUAAGGUAACGGUUUACCAAGGCAACGAUGCGUAGCCGACCUGAGAGAGUGAUCGGCCACGCUGGAACUGAGGCACGGUCCAGACUCCUACGGGAGGCAGCAGUAGGGAAUCUUCCGCACUGGGCGAAAGCCUGACGGAGCAACGCCGCGUGAGUGAUGAAGGUCUUCGGAUCGUAAAACUCUGUUAUUAGGGAAGAACAAAUGUGUAAGUAACUAUGCACGUCUUGACGGUACCUAAUCAGAAAGCCACGGCUAACUACGUG